This 460-nucleotide ribosomal RNA is filed under the name uncultured bacterium. RNAcentral's name for it is "partial 16S ribosomal RNA". It matches the Rfam family "Bacterial small subunit ribosomal RNA", at positions 338 to 795 of the family's 1533-position model. The record is from RNAcentral.
CCUACGGGAGGCUGCAGUGAGGAAUAUUGGUCAAUGGACUAGAGUCUGAACCAGCCAAGUAGCGUGAAGGAUGACUGCCCUAUGGGUUGUAAACUUCUUUUAUAUGGGAAUAAAACGUUCCACGUGUGGGAUUUUGUAUGUACCAUAUGAAUAAGGAUCGGCUAACUCCGUGCCAGCAGCCGCGGUAAUACGGAGGAUCCGAGCGUUAUCCGGAUUUAUUGGGUUUAAAGGGAGCGUAGGUGGAUUGUUAAGUCAGUUGUGAAAGUUUGCGGCUCAACCGUAAAAUUGCAGUUGAAACUGGCAGUCUUGAGUACAGUAGAGGUGGGCGGAAUUCGUGGUGUAGCGGUGAAAUGCUUAGAUAUCACGAAGAACUCCGAUUGCGAAGGCAGUUCACUGGACUGCAACUGACACUGAGGCUCGAAAGUGUGGGUAUCAAACAGGAUUAGAUACCCUUGUAGUC